GACGAACGCUGGCGGCGGGCUUAAUACAUGCAAGUCGAACGAGAAGCUUCGGGUUCGCCCGAAGUGGAGAGUGGCGCACGGGUGAGUAACACGUAGGCAACCUACCCCUGAGAGUGGGAUAACCAUUGGAAACGAUGGCUAAUACCGCAUAUUGUCUUUAGGACGCAUGUUCUUUAGAUGAAAUACUCUGGUGCUCAGGGAUGGGCCUGCGGCGGAUUAGCUUGUUGGUAAGGUAACGGCUUACCAAGGCUACGAUCUGUAGCUGGUCUGAGAGGAUGAUCAGCCACACUGGCACUGAGACACGGGCCAGACUCCUACGGGAGGCAGCAGUAAGGAAUAUUGCGCAAUGGGCGAAAGCCUGACGCAGCCACGCCGCGUGGAGGAAGACACCCCUAUGGGGCGUAAACUCCUUUUAUAUGAGAAGAAGGCCUCGGUCGCCGAGGUUUGACGGUACCAUAUGAAUAAGCACCGGCUAACUCCG
RNAcentral lists this ribosomal RNA (481 nucleotides) under uncultured Rhodothermaceae bacterium. Its description in RNAcentral is "bacterial SSU rRNA". It matches the Rfam family "Bacterial small subunit ribosomal RNA", at positions 28 to 505 of the family's 1533-position model. Lineage: Bacteria; Pseudomonadati; Rhodothermota; Rhodothermia; Rhodothermales; Rhodothermaceae. The record is from RNAcentral.